GACGAACGCUGGCGGCGUGCUUAACACAUGCAAGUCGAACGGAAAGGCCCAGCUUGCUGGGUACUCGCGUGGCGAACGGGUGAGUAACACGUGGGUUAUCUGCCCUCCACUUUGGGAUAAGCCUGGGAAACUGGGUCUAAUACCGGAUAUGAUCAACUGUCGCAUGGUGGUUGGUGGAAAGCUUUUGCGGUUGAGGAUGGGCCCGCGGCCUAUCAGCUUGUUGGUGGGGUAAUGGCCUACCAAGGCGACGACGGGUAGCCGACCUGAGAGGGUGAUCGGCCACACUGGGACUGAGACACGGCCCAGACUCCUACGGGAGGCAGCAGUGGGGAAUAUUGCAGAAUGGGCGCAAGCCUGAUGCAGCGACGCCGCGUGAGGGAUGACGGCCUUCGGGUUGUAAACCUCUUUCACCAGGGACGAAGCGUGAGUGACGGUACCUGGAGAAGAAGCACCGGCCAACUACGUG
Molecule: ribosomal RNA, 466 nt
Filed under: uncultured bacterium
Lineage: Bacteria
Description: partial 16S ribosomal RNA
Rfam family: Bacterial small subunit ribosomal RNA
Source: RNAcentral